This 253-nucleotide ribosomal RNA is filed under the name uncultured bacterium. RNAcentral describes it as "partial 16S ribosomal RNA". It matches the Rfam family "Bacterial small subunit ribosomal RNA", at positions 524 to 776 of the family's 1533-position model. The record is from RNAcentral.
GACAGAGGGUGCAAACGUUGUUCGGAAUUACUGGGCGUAAAGCGCGUGUAGGCUGCUCGAACAGUCGGGUGUGAAAGCCCUGGGCUCAACUCAGGAAGUGCAUUCGAUACUGCCGAGCUUGAGUCCUGGAGAGGAAGGCGGAAUUCUCGGUGUAGAGGUGAAAUUCGUAGAUAUCGAGAGGAACACCGGUGGCGAAGGCGGCCUUCUGGACAGUGACUGACGCUGAGACGCGAAAGCGUGGGGAGCAAACAGG